RNAcentral lists this ribosomal RNA (464 nucleotides) under uncultured bacterium. RNAcentral describes it as "partial 16S ribosomal RNA". It matches the Rfam family "Bacterial small subunit ribosomal RNA", at positions 28 to 507 of the family's 1533-position model. The record is from RNAcentral.
GACGAACGCUGGCGGCGUGCUUAACACAUGCAAGUCGAACGGAAAGGCCUGCUUGCAGGGUACUCGAGUGGCGAACGGGUGAGUAACACGUGGGUGAUCUGCCCUGCACUUCGGGAUAAGCCUGGGAAACUGGGUCUAAUACCGGAUAGGAGCCAUUUUUAGUGUGAUGGUUGGAAAGUUUUUUCGGUGUAGGAUGAGCUCGCGGCCUAUCAGCUUGUUGGUGGGGUAAUGGCCUACCAAGGCGGCGACGGGUAGCCGGCCUGAGAGGGUGGACGGCCACAGUGGGACUGAGAGACGGCCCAGACUCCUACGGGAGGCAGCAGUGGGGAAUAUUGCACAAUGGGCGCAAGCCGGAUGCAGCGACGCCGCGUGGGGGAUGACGGCCUUCGGGUUGGAAACUCCUUUCGCUAGGGACGAAGCUUUUUGUGACGGUACCUAGAGAAGAAGCACCGGCUAACUACGUG